RNAcentral lists this non-coding RNA (71 nucleotides) under Variovorax sp. PAMC 28711. Its description in RNAcentral is "SAH (S-adenosyl-L-homocysteine) riboswitch aptamer". It matches the Rfam family "SAH (S-adenosyl-L-homocysteine) riboswitch aptamer". The record is from Rfam by way of RNAcentral. Lineage: Bacteria; Pseudomonadati; Pseudomonadota; Betaproteobacteria; Burkholderiales; Comamonadaceae. RNAcentral also lists the same sequence under 1 other name.
CGGUCCGAGGAGCGUUGCAGCGCCGACAUAGGCGUGAGGCUCGGACACCUUCGCAACCACGCUCAUCCGCU